RNAcentral lists this ribosomal RNA (206 nucleotides) under uncultured bacterium. RNAcentral's name for it is "partial 16S ribosomal RNA". It matches the Rfam family "Bacterial small subunit ribosomal RNA", at positions 568 to 774 of the family's 1533-position model. The record is from RNAcentral.
AGCGUAGACGGUGUGGCAAGUCUGAUGUGAAAGGCAUGGGCUCAACCUGUGGACUGCAUUGGAAACUGUCAUGCUUGAGUGCCGGAGGGGUAAGCGGAAUUCCUAGUGUAGCGGUGAAAUGCGUAGAUAUUAGGAGGAACACCAGUGGCGAAGGCGGCUUACUGGACGGUAACUGACGUUGAGGCUCGAAAGCGUGGGAGCAAACA